Molecule: ribosomal RNA, 508 nt
Filed under: uncultured bacterium
Lineage: Bacteria
Description: partial 16S ribosomal RNA
Rfam family: Bacterial small subunit ribosomal RNA
Source: RNAcentral
GACGAACGCUGGCGGCGUGCCUAAUACAUGCAAGUCGAACGCUUCUUUCCUCCCGAGUGCUUGCACUCAAUUGGAAAGAGGAGUGGCGGACGGGUGAGUAACACGUGGGUAACCUACCCAUCAGAGGGGGAUAACACUUGGAAACAGGUGCUAAUACCGCAUAACAGUUUAUGCCGCAUGGCAUAAGAGUUAAAGGCGCUUUCGGGUGUCGCUGAUGGAUGGACCCGCGGUGCAUUAGCUAGUUGGUGAGGUAACGGCUCACCAAGGCCACGAUGCAUAGCCGGCCUGAGAGGGUGAUCGGCCACACUGGAACUGAGACACGGCCCAGACUCCUACGGGAGGCAGCAGUAGGGAAUCUUCGGCAAUGGACGAAAGUCUGACCGAGCAAUGCCGCGUGAGUGAAGAAGGUCUUCGGAUCGUAAAACUCUGUUGUUAGAGAAGAACAAGGACGUUAGUAACUGAACGUCCCCUGACGGUAUCUAACCAGAAAGCCACGGCUAACUACGUG